Molecule: ribosomal RNA, 355 nt
Filed under: uncultured bacterium
Lineage: Bacteria
Description: partial 16S ribosomal RNA
Rfam family: Bacterial small subunit ribosomal RNA
Source: RNAcentral
CCUACGGGAGGCAGCAGUGGGGAAUAUUGGGCAAUGGAGGCAACUCUGACCCAGCAACGCCGCGUGAAUGAUGAAGGUCUUCGGAUGGUAAAGUUCUGUGAUGGGGGAGGAACACAAUGACGGUACCCCAAUAGCAAGCCACGGCUAACUACGUGCCAGCAGCCGCGGUAAUACGUAGGUGGCAAGCGUUAUCCGGAAUGACUGGGCGUAAAGGGUGCGUAGGGGGUUUAGUAAGUUGGCGGUGUAAUUCCGGGGCUCAACCUCGGCGCUACCGCCAAAACUAUUAGACUAGAGUGCAGGUGUGGUCAGUGGCAUUCCUCGUGUAGCGGUGUACUGCGUAGAUAUUAGGUGGCAC